RNAcentral lists this ribosomal RNA (443 nucleotides) under uncultured bacterium. RNAcentral's name for it is "partial 16S ribosomal RNA". It matches the Rfam family "Bacterial small subunit ribosomal RNA", at positions 338 to 795 of the family's 1533-position model. The record is from RNAcentral.
CCUACGGGAGGCAGCAGUGGGGAAUAUUGGGCAAUGGGCGCAAGCCUGACCCAGCAACGCCGCGUGAAGGAAGAAGGCUCUCGGGUUGUAAACUUCUUUUUUCAGGGGCGAAGCAAGUGACGGUACCUGCUGAAUAAGCCACGGCUAACUACGUGCCAGCAGUCGCGGUAAUACGUCGGGGGCAAGCGUUAUCCGGAUUUACUGGGUGUACAGGGCGUGUAGGCGGGAGUGCAAGUCAGAUGUGAAAACUAUGGGCUCAACCCAUAGCCUGCAUUUGAAACUGUACUUCUUGAGUGCUGGGGAGGCAAGCGGAAUUCCGUGUGUAGCGGUGAAAUGCGUAGAUAUACGGAGGAACACCAGUGGCGAAGGCGGAUUGCUAGACAGUAACUGACGCUGAGGCUCGAAAGCGUGGGUAUCAAACAGGAUUAGAUACCCCAGUAGUC